CUACGGGAUGCACCAGUGAGGAAUUUUGCGCAAUGGGGGAAACCCUGACGCAGCAACGCCGCGUGAGCGAAGAAGGCCUUCGGGUCGUAAAGCUCUGUCAAGUGGGAAAAAACGCUUUAGAUUAAUAGUCUAAAGAAUUGAUGGUACCACUGGAGGAAGCACCGGCUAACUCCGUGCCAGCAGCCGCGGUAAUACGGAGGGUGCAAGCGGUGUUCGGAAUUACUGGGCGUAAAGCGCGUGCAGGCGGUUUGGCAAGUCAGAUGUGAAAGCCCUGGGCUCAACCCGGGAAGUGCAUUUGAAACUGCCUUUCUUGAGUAUGGGAGAGGAGAGUGGAAUUCCCAGUGUAGAGGUGAAAUUCGUAGAUAUUGGGAGGAACACCCGUGGCGAAGGCGACUCUCUGGACCAAUACUGACGCUGAGACGCGAAAGCGUGGGGAGCAAACAGGAUUAGAUACCCCGGUAGUC
Molecule: ribosomal RNA, 464 nt
Filed under: uncultured bacterium
Lineage: Bacteria
Description: partial 16S ribosomal RNA
Rfam family: Bacterial small subunit ribosomal RNA
Source: RNAcentral